This is a non-coding RNA of Callithrix jacchus (white-tufted-ear marmoset), 788 nucleotides long. Lineage: Eukaryota; Metazoa; Chordata; Mammalia; Primates; Cebidae. The record is from RefSeq and is a predicted model, not a curated record.
CCCCUCCGAGCCAACUAAAAAAAACAGUGCGCAUGCGCCGGGCCCUGACCUGGAAGUGGCUGGAUCCGGGGCAUGCGUGUUUCCAUGAGUGUGGCGGAGAUGGGGAGCCAGGAACCCUCCGAGCCCCCGUCGCCGGGAGACGCCACGCAGAACAGCGCCCGGCCUGCGGACCGCCACGGCCUGUUGAAACACAGCUGUGGGUUCUUGGACUUCUGGGACAUUGCGAAGCCUGAGCAGGAGACGCGACUUGAGGCCACGAAGCUGCCGGAGUAUCUGCGCGCUAGGCCGAAGAUGGAGCGGCGGGUUUGGGGCAGGGGCCGCGCACUUCCCGACAAGGAAGCGGCGGCGGGCCCAGGGAUUUGGGAUGGGGGCACGUGGUCGCGAACCUGGAUGACAAGGUGCACGGGGUGUGCAGCUUCUUGUCACCGUUCAACGCGAGGGUGCGCUUGGUUCCGCAGGGGUCUGAGAUGAAAUACGCCCUGAAGCGGCUAAUCACGGGACUCGGGGUCUGGCGAGAAACAGCCCGGCCCUGCUACAGUUUGGCCCUGGCACAGGCCUGCAGGGCAUUCAGCUGAUUGGAGUAGCCCACUCUCUGAGGAGCCCUGACAAGGGGAAGAGCAGUUAAGACCCAGGCCCGCCGGAUCAGCCUGAGUGGAGCUCAGACCGGGCUAUGGAGAGAAGACCCAGUGGCUGAGAAUUUCAGCAGAGCAAUCUAGGGACUGUAGAAGCUGUUACAGUCUUUUGAAGACCUCCAUUUGUGCAGCAUCCUGCAGCAGAUACAAGAAAAA